AGGCCGUGAUGAGGACACUUACUUAGUAGCCCCUUGAACCUUUCCCAAGUUUCAUAUAAGGAUUCCCCAUCCUCUUGUGAAUAUGUAUUAAUUUCAGUAAUUAAUUU
RNAcentral lists this small nucleolar RNA (107 nucleotides) under Helianthus annuus (common sunflower). RNAcentral describes it as "Plant small nucleolar RNA R71". It matches the Rfam family "Plant small nucleolar RNA R71". From Rfam's summary of the family: R71 is a member of the C/D box family of snoRNAs containing the C (UGAUGA) and D (CUGA) box motifs. Multiple nearly identical copies of this snoRNA have been identified in Arabidopsis, and it is thought to function as a 2'-O-ribose methylation guide for 18S ribosomal RNA. Lineage: Eukaryota; Viridiplantae; Streptophyta; Magnoliopsida; Asterales; Asteraceae. The record is from RNAcentral.